This 253-nucleotide ribosomal RNA is filed under the name uncultured bacterium. RNAcentral describes it as "partial 16S ribosomal RNA". It matches the Rfam family "Bacterial small subunit ribosomal RNA", at positions 524 to 776 of the family's 1533-position model. The record is from RNAcentral.
GACGAACCGAGCGAACGUUGUUCGGAAUCACUGGGCUUAAAGGGCGCGUAGGCGGGUUGCCGCGUCCGGGGUGAAAUCCCACGGCUCAACCGUGAAAUUGCCUCGGAUACGGGCGGCCUGGAGGGGGGUAGGGGCGGGCGGAACUCUGCGUGGAGCGGUGAAAUGCGUUGAUAUGCAGAGGAACUCCGGUGGCGAAGGCGGCCCGCUGGACCCCAUCUGACGCUGAGGCGCGAAAGCCAGGGGAGCGAACGGG